GCGCGUGGCGGGCAAGCUUUUCGUCGUCGCAUCGGUAACCAACUUUCACACGUUUGCGGGUUUGCGUUUGAUCUUGUUAGUAUUUCACAGCGCGAUUUCCAUUUUCACUAACGUAAAUAGACUCGAUAAUAGAUGAUAACGCGAUAUGCAGCGUAUGCAUUACAACAAUCGCAGUUAAUCGAUUCCGCGCGGAUCUGGGUCACAAGGGGAGAAGUUUAUCGACUAAAAAGGUCGCCGGGAGUAUAUUUCUCUCUCUUCGUGGUCGUAUUAUUUUCUUCUUCCGUCAUAUAUCUUCCGAAGAAUAACAAACAGCCGCAAGACGGGGAGGGAGAGAGAGAAAGAGACAGACAGACGUGAACCGGAUGCUCCUCUUCGUCGAAUCGAUUACGCUUACGAGGUGUAUAAUAAAAAGUCGCGAUGCGGUAAAUAGUCACCUGUGCUAAUUUGCGAUCUAAUUUUGCCGCGAUAACGAAGUGGUAGUCCGUGGAAUGAAAGCGUCGAUAAGAGAAGGAGAGCUUCCCCGUUUCCCGACGGUAAGCUCAAGCACCACUUUACCUAUGUGCACGUCGGUAAGCCUCCUCUGUUUACCAUCGAGGUAUUGCGAAAUCGCGCGAUUCGCGGGAUCUAAUUUGUUGACAGCGGUGAUAACAGCGUGUCAUCGUCACUUUUAAAGGUCUCGCGCGGGCCUUUUUUACUUCCCGAACGCGAUUAAGCACGUUGUAUCGCAAACUCAGAAUUUCUCGCGCGAUAUCGAUCAAGGUCAAUUGACGACUUCGGGGUCGCGUGGGAAACGAUCAAAGGAGUACAAGGAGCACCUUGUUUUCCUCGAGCCUGAUCUCGAGGAUGCGUCCGCUGGUGACUCGUAAAUGUUCUUUUUCAAACACUACACCGACGCUUCAACAUCUCUCUUUCUCUCUCUCUCCAUCCCGGUUGGGUUUUCUAUCCUCCUGCACGUGCUGAGUACAUAUUUACACGCUUAUCGACGCUCUUAUCGUGCGCGGCGCGCAGCGAGCGGUGGUCGAGCGACUCGGCAGAUAAAGAGCGACUCGCCGAGUGUGCGCCGGGAGCGCGGUUUAAAGAUCGUGCGAAUGUCGUGACAAUGAUUUCGACGAACGGCCGCAUGCGAGAUGCGCAUUGACAUACCCAUCGCCGGGGGAAGUAACGUCACACCCACCCGAUGACAUCUCGAUGGCGACGUCUCCUUCCCGCGCCUCGUCUUCCGCGAACGAGUUCUCCGAAAUGGGCGAGAACGCGCACCGGAGGAAUAAUAAUCUGCUAAUCAACCCGGGAUAACGACGGGGGCUUCGAUGCGCGCGCGCGAGUCUCUCGUGCGCCGGGAGAGAGAGCGCGCGUAUUAACCGACGCGCCAUAAAUUUCAUACACACAACGUGUCCGCAAGCUCCUCCGCACGAGCCGCCGCUGGGCGCCAGUCUAGUCCGGACGGCGGUGAUCCAGUUGAGCACGAGCGGCCGAGCGCGGGUCCACGCGAGGAAGCCGACGCGCGCGCGCGGCGUCAUCGCGUCGAGAGACGUCACGCGUUUGCAUUCGCCAGGUGUGCUCUCUCUCUCUCUCUCUCUCUUUCUCUGGCUGCUCCGUCCCUUCGGCUCGGUCUUUUUCCGCCUUCCUCGGGAAACAGAGUCGAUCCUCGGUGUCUCCGAUCGUCGCGAUGAACGGCUGGCACGAAACGCGAAACCGCGCGGCAACACGCAGGCCGCUGACGUAGUCGUCGGCACAACGGCUAAUUAAUUCCUAUAUACGUGAAAUAACCGAUAAAGACCCGACGUCGCGAGACGCUUUCGGGGACACCAAGAGCUUCGGCCACGCUGUGUGAUCUAUCGGCGGAAUUUUCGCCAAUGGCUGUGUUGUGUGCCCGUCGUAUAAGAAAUAAGAACAAUAAGAGCGAAAUUGCUGAUGUCUAUCUUCUCUCUUGCGAGAGGCGUUUGGUCGAGUUUUUGUGCAACUCAUCGGAAGAGCAUUUCUCGGGUCGAUUUCCGCGGGCUGUCACUUGUUGACAAUCGAGCGCUCUUGGCAGCCGGCGCGACAACAACGUGUCUGGCCGGCCGCGUCUCGCGAUUUGCCAGCGGCGCGAAAGAGUUAUGCCACCGUCGAGAAUAUUUCGGGUCUGGCGCGCACGCUCUCGUGUGUUCCUUUUCGCGGGUUACCGAAGGUGUUAAGCGCGACGUGUUAACGCGGUGCCUCGUCACGACGAUGUAAACAUCGUCGUCACGAAGCGGCGGGAUCCAGUCUCGACGUUGCGCCCUCGGCAUGCGAGUCGGCGGCCGCUGACGGUCAUCGAUGAUUCUCACGAUCGCGCCGAACCGUCGCCGACGACGGAGGACGACGGACACGUGAAAAAAACGUGCUGUCCGACGAUCCCCGUGGAUCCGCUCACUCUCCCUCGCGUUCGGUUAGCGAACUCACGUCGGAUCGCGAAUACCCCCGGUGCGUUGUUCUCGAGGCACGGACGACGACGUUACGUUUCGUUUUA
This is a long non-coding RNA of Dinoponera quadriceps, 2488 nucleotides long. RefSeq lists it as uncharacterized. Lineage: Eukaryota; Metazoa; Arthropoda; Insecta; Hymenoptera; Formicidae. The transcript is spliced from 3 exons. The record is from RefSeq and is a predicted model, not a curated record.